UACGGAGGGUGCAAGCGUUAUUCGGAUUUACUGGGCGUAAAGGGCGCGUAGGCGGUCAGAUAAGUCAGAUGUGAAAGCCCGGGGCUCAACCCCGGAAGUGCAUUUGAAACUGUCUGGCUUGAGUAUGGUAGAGGGAAGUGGAAUUCCUGGUGUAGCGGUGAAAUGCGUAGAUAUCAGGAGGAACACCGGUGGCGAAGGCGACUUCCUGGACCAAUACUGACGCUGAGGCGCGAAGGUGUGGGGAGCAAACAGG
RNAcentral lists this ribosomal RNA (253 nucleotides) under uncultured bacterium. RNAcentral's name for it is "partial 16S ribosomal RNA". It matches the Rfam family "Bacterial small subunit ribosomal RNA", at positions 524 to 776 of the family's 1533-position model. The record is from RNAcentral.